Molecule: long non-coding RNA, 783 nt
Filed under: Homo sapiens (human)
Lineage: Eukaryota; Metazoa; Chordata; Mammalia; Primates; Hominidae
Description: HSALNT0169930
Source: RNAcentral
UUGGAGUUUCAUUAAAUUUUUUUCAGGUUACUGAAACGUGGAGUCCAGAAAGACAAUCCCAUUCCAAAGGCUAAGCAGUGAUGAUGUUUUCAACAGGAUGCAGCCCCUGGAUAUAAGCUCCUGCUUUCCAGAAAUCUCUGAGAUAUCUAAGAGACACAGUGGCUGUGACACCUUUUUGACACGUGUCUCUGAGAAAUUGCAAGGACAUGGAGAAGAUAGGAGAGCAGGAGCCAGAGGGAGGUCCAGACACCAAGGUGGGAUUCUGAGGUCCACUGCCCACAACAAGGUCAGCCUUGGGGGACCUUUAACAGUGAUGUCUCCGGGGAGCCCCUGAGGAGGUGUGCGGCUAGGAAGUGCACCAUAAAAAAACAGCGGCUCUGUUUUCCUGUGUGGCAAUGAUCCGUGGUGUGUCACGGACACAUCCUAGCCACACGGCGCAACAGGAAAACUGACGAGUCUGUUUGCAAAGGAAGUCACUCUGGAGGGAAGUAUCUGCCCAGUGACUUAAGCUUUGCUGUGAAAAUAAGUGCAGGAUUCAGGGUCAGAAGAUCAGACUCAAGUCGUAUGUCAGCCUCUGUAUCUGAGAUGCUCACUAAGCUUUAAUGCUGUUGGAUAAUGGAGAUGAGGUUGCGUUUCCCUACAGCAACGUGAGGGAACUGGGUGAGAAAACACACAGGGAAUGGCUUUCUAGACCAUAAAGCACUCUACACGUCUCAGAGCGAAUCGAUUAACUCUAAGGUACUGUGAUCAAUACCAUUAAAGUAACAGGCAGGAACAAGCAAA